This 1181-nucleotide long non-coding RNA is filed under the name Canis lupus familiaris (dog). RNAcentral describes it as "lncRNA (ENSCAFG00000047596.2)". Lineage: Eukaryota; Metazoa; Chordata; Mammalia; Carnivora; Canidae. The record is from RNAcentral.
AUUAGCUCCUAGCUCAGGAAAGUUUUCAGUUUCUUCAAUAAGAUUGUACUACUACAUUCCUUUCAGCGGUAUUAUAUAUUUGCAAAGCUUGGUUUUUGACAGUUGCUGUGAUAAAUAACAAUUACCACAUGAAAAGCAAUGGUGGAUGAGGAUGGCAGUGACCAAUCUGAUUUCAAAGUUUGAGAAGUUGUGCAGUGCCCAGUAGAUGCACACAUCCAAUUAGUAAGUACGUGUGGUUAUUUACAGAUGGAAUAAAAACAUACUUUCCUUCAGUUCAUGAGUAUCGUUGUUUUAAAAAAAUGGCUACUAAGUUGUUAGGACCCAAACCAAACAACAGACAAACAGAAAAACAAAAUACUUUACCAAGUAGGGUUCUAACUACUUUGUAAAUAAAACAGUUGGUUAUUUUCUUUGAUCUGGGCAUGCUGAGGAAGUCACAGAGUCACUAAGGAUCCCUCCAAAGAUAGAAAUUUUGUGAACCUCUGGUAUAAUCUGAUGAUCAUUUACAUAAUUACUGACCUUUUAUGUUUAUUCAAGAUCUGUUUAUGUUGGCCUGUCAUGUGUUUUUUUAAAAUUUUAUUUAUUUAUUCGUGAGAGACAUAGAGAGAGAGGCGCAGACACAGACAGAGGAGAAGCAGGCUCCAUGCAGGGAGUGCGAUGCGGAACUCGAUCCCAGGACUCCAGAAUCAUGCCCUGGGCCAAAGGCAGGUGCCAAACCGCUGAGCCACCUGGGGAUCCCCGGCCUGUCAUGUGUUUUUGAUGUUAUUUAAAAAUGUUGCCCCUGAUAGUUCAGUGCACUGAUAGGUCAGAGAUUGGCAUUUCUGAAGCUCAUUCUUCUGGAUGAUAUUUCGGAAGUCAGAUGCCUGCAAUGACUUCGUUGACUCCAAGAAAAAAAUUUGAGUUGAAAAAUCUUCUUUUUUUGCAUCACAUCCAUGGGUAUAGAAGUCCUGGAUACCUGGACUGCUGGUUUCCAUGAGUCCUUGAUGUCCUACCAAGGAAGACGUCCUCACAUCUUGCAGCAGGAACCCAUUGAUACGGCGCCCACCUUGACUUCCGAAUGGGACAGCGCAUCCUCAGAAGCAACGGUGAUGGCGGUGAUGGCGCCUGCAUCACACAUCGAAGACGCUUGUGCUGAUAGCUCAAGCCCUUGAAAACCCAGCCAAGGUCAGUGUCGUAUCCUC